CAGUAGCCGCGGUAAUACAGAGGGUGCAAGCGUUAAUCGGAUUUACUGGGCGUAAAGGGCGCGUAGGUGGUUAUGUAAGUGAGAUGUGAAAUCCCCGGGCUCAACCUGGGAACUGCAUCUUAUACUGCGUAGCUGGAGUGCAGUAGAGGGUAGUGGAAUUUCCGGUGUAGCGGUGAAAUGCGUAGAUAUCGGAAGGAACACCAGUGGCGAAGGCGGCUACCUGGACUGACACUGACACUGAGGCGCGAAAGCGUGGGGAGCAAACAGGAUUAGAUACCCGGGUAGUCCCUGUCUCUUAUCA
RNAcentral lists this ribosomal RNA (301 nucleotides) under uncultured bacterium. RNAcentral's name for it is "partial 16S ribosomal RNA". It matches the Rfam family "Bacterial small subunit ribosomal RNA", at positions 509 to 809 of the family's 1533-position model. The record is from RNAcentral.